CCCGCACUCAUGCUCGCACAAACAGACUUGUAUAAAGAGGGGUGAGCGAAAGCACCUAGACAGAGUCUGCUGCGGGUUUCGUACGGACGCCCAACCGAUUGAUGCACACUCUGCCGGGGUUGUAGGCUCUCCAACCCAGCGCGUCACGACGAUGCUGCCAAUACCUCUGCAGUAGGGCAAGGGGAAAUCCCAUGCAGCAGUUCCAGCUGAAGUGGCGAGGCAAGACAAGCUACAUGAUUCACUCGGAUGGGAGACAGUGACGCGGCUCGUCCCCUGGGGUCAAGACACUUUACAUGCUUCCUCUUGCUGAGAUGGCAAAGAAUGUUCCUCGUCCAUCAAGGCAUUCCUGUCUAGAGCACGCCGAGCAGGCCAUGCAAAGACUCUUCUGCACUCUGUGUGUACGCUAGCGGCCACGCCUCCACCCACCGAGACAGCGACUGGAUGACUGACAAAAGGGCUCAUGCCGUUCUAUGGAACAAACGCGGCAAGUUGCUGAAAGCGAUGCACAGAGUGAACUCCCUUCCAGCUUGUUUGGAGGCGAGAGACAAGAAAGACAGACACGCAUGCACACGGCAAUAUAUCGAUGCUGGUAAAAUGAUCAAGUUCAUUUGAAUUUAUUGUGUGCUAACUAACUUAUUUUCAUCCCAGCACUGGUGCCCAUGAGAAAUCUUUUAAUCACAUUUUAGUCACAUCAUAAUCUCGUUACUAUACAUAUUUGUUACUAUUAUUAUAUGUAUGAUACAUUUAUACAUGAAAACCAGCAAGGUGGCGCCAAACAACUUUUCUCCAAGUGAGUCAGUCAGAGCUUUCCUUCCUGUCAUUGACAUGCACCAAUUAUUUAGGAAGAAGCUGGAAAAAGCGCCUCACGUUGGGCAAGUUAGCAAACAACAGAAGAAAAACUAAACUAAUGGUGACCAAUGUCAAACAACUGAGGGGCCAUCAUAUUCAAGUACACUUGUGCCAAACUAAGAUUUGCAAAAAUAUAUACACUGCAUAUAUAUGAGUCAUUAUUCUAUCAAACUUCCAAAAUUCUGAGAAGAUAAAUCACUUUGGACUGACUAUUAUGUUACCAUGGUUUCCAAAUGCUAUGUAAUGUGUAACAAUUGCAUUGUAUAUCUGCAGGCACUUUGGAUUCACUUGGUCAAGACUGAAUAAAUAAAUG
Dunckerocampus dactyliophorus (ringed pipefish) is the source of this 1162-nucleotide long non-coding RNA. RefSeq lists it as uncharacterized. The record is from RefSeq and is a predicted model, not a curated record. The transcript is spliced from 4 exons. Lineage: Eukaryota; Metazoa; Chordata; Actinopteri; Syngnathiformes; Syngnathidae.